RNAcentral lists this ribosomal RNA (1326 nucleotides) under metagenome. Its description in RNAcentral is "bacterial LSU rRNA". It matches the Rfam family "Bacterial large subunit ribosomal RNA", at positions 1561 to 2925 of the family's 2925-position model. The record is from RNAcentral.
AGUGGAUGGGGAGCAACCUAGUUGUGCGUGUGUAAAGGUAGUGCCAAGAAAAGCGGUGAUCAUGAUGAAAAUCAAUUCCCGGUACCCGAAACCGACACAGGUGGGCAAGUAGAGAAUACUAAGGGGCGCGAGGUAACUCUCUCCAAGGAACUCGGCAAAAUGACCCCGUAACUUAGGGAGAAGGGGUGCCACCGAGAGGUGGUCGCAGUGAAGAGGCCCAGGCGACUGUUUAGCAAAAACAUAGGUCUCUGCAAACUCGAAAGAGGAGGUAUAGGGGCUGACGCCUGCCCAGUGCCGGAAGGUUAAAGAAGUUGGUCAGUCUUAGGAUGAAGCUAGCGACUGAAGCCCCGGUGAACGGCGGCCGUAACUAUAACGGUCCUAAGGUAGCGAAAUUCCUUGUCGGGUAAGUUCCGACCCGCACGAAAGGCGUAACGAUCUGGGCGCUGUCUCGGAGAGAGGCUCGGCGAAAUAGGAUUGUCUGUGAAGAUAUCGACUACCUGCAUUUGGACAGAAAGACCCUAUGAAGCUUUACUAUAGCUUGGAAUUGUGUUCGGGCUUCCUGUGCGCAGGAUAGGUGGGAGGCGUAGAAGGUAUUCUUGUGGGGAUACUGGAGCCAACGGUGAGAUACCACUCUCAGGAGGCUAGAAAUUCUAACUUAAUUAAGGACAGUUUCAGGUGGGUAGUUUGACUGGGGCGGUCGCCUCCAAAAAGGUAACGGAGGCGUACAAAGGUUCCCUCAGACUGGUUGGAAAUCAGUCGAAGAGUGCAAAGGCAGAAGGGAGCUUGACUGCGAGAAGUACAGUUCGAGCAGGGUGGAAACACGGUCUUAGUGAUCCGACGGUGCUGUGUGGAAGGGCCGUCGCUCAACGGAUAAAAGUUACUCUAGGAUAACAGGCUGAUCUCCCCCAAGAGUUCACAUCGACGGGGAGGUUUGGCACCUCGAUGUCGGCUCAUCGCAACCUGGGGCGGAAGUACGUCCCAAGGGUUGGGCUGUUCGCCCAUUAAAGCGGUACGUGAGCUGGGUUCAGAACGUCGUGAGACAGUUCGGUCCAUAUCCGAUGUAGGCGUGAGAAUAUUGAGAGGAGCCUUCCUUAGUACGAGAGGACCGGGAAGGACGCACCGCUGGUGUACCUGUUAUGAUGCCAAUUGUAAACGCAGGGUAGCCAAGUGCGGAGAGGAUAACCGCUGAAAGCAUCUAAGUGGGAAGCCCACCUCAAGAUGAGUAUUCUGGUGUAAGGUCACGGGAAGACGACCCGUAAAUAGGCACGAGGUGGAAGUGCAGAGAUGUAUGAAGCCGAAGUGUACUAAUAGACCGUCGGCUUGACC